This 23-nucleotide microRNA is filed under the name Petromyzon marinus (sea lamprey). Its description in RNAcentral is "pma-miR-4624". Lineage: Eukaryota; Metazoa; Chordata; Hyperoartia; Petromyzontiformes; Petromyzontidae. The record is from miRBase by way of RNAcentral.
CCGCGGUCGGGUCGGGCUGAGUG